CGUGGCUCGGCCUCAUUUCCCGCUCUGGUUCAGGCGCAGGAGGAAGUGUUUUGCUGGAGGAUGAUGACAGAGGUCAGGCUUCGCUAAUGGGCCAGUGAGGAGCGGUGGAGGCGAGGCCGGGCGCCGGCACACACACAUUAACACACUUGAGCCAUCACCAAUCAGCAUAGGGAUCUGAGAAUUGCUCUCACACACCAAACCAGCAGCGUCCGUGGAGAAAACUCUCACCAGCAACUCCUUUAAAACACCGUCAUUGCAAACCAUUGUGGUCUUUAAGCAACAACAACAGCAAAAAAAAAAAAAAAACACCCCAACCAACCAAAACUCUUGACAGGAGCUUUGACGAAAGAGGAUGCCUCAUAAAGGGGGAAGACUUUAACUAGGGGCGCGCAGAUGUGUGAGACCUUUUAUUGUAAGAGUGGACAGACUUCCCAGAUUUCAG
Molecule: long non-coding RNA, 442 nt
Organism: Lynx canadensis (Canada lynx)
Lineage: Eukaryota; Metazoa; Chordata; Mammalia; Carnivora; Felidae
Exons: 3
Source: RefSeq, a predicted model, not a curated record